This 531-nucleotide ribosomal RNA is filed under the name Penicillium paraherquei. Its description in RNAcentral is "eukaryotic LSU rRNA". The stretch from base 187 to 340 matches the Rfam family "5.8S ribosomal RNA". Lineage: Eukaryota; Fungi; Ascomycota; Eurotiomycetes; Eurotiales; Aspergillaceae. The record is from RNAcentral.
GGAGGAUCAUUACCGAGUGAGGGCCCUCUGGUCCAACCUCCCACCCGUGUUUAUUUUACCUUGUUGCUUCGGCGGGCCCGUUAACUGGCCGCCGGGGGGCUCACGCCCCCGGGCCCGCGCCCGCCGAAGACACCCUCGAACUCUGUCUGAAGAUUGAAGUCUGAGUGGAAAAUAUAAAUUAUUUAAAACUUUCAACAACGGAUCUCUUGGUUCCGGCAUCGAUGAAGAACGCAGCGAAAUGCGAUACGUAAUGUGAAUUGCAGAAUUCAGUGAAUCAUCGAGUCUUUGAACGCACAUUGCGCCCCCUGGUAUUCCGGGGGGCAUGCCUGUCCGAGCGUCAUUGCUGCCCUCAAGCCCGGCUUGUGUGUUGGGCCCCGUCCUCCGAUCUCCGGGGGACGGGCCCGAAAGGCAGCGGCGGCACCGCGUCCGGUCCUCGAGCGUAUGGGGCUUUGUCACCCGCUCUGUAGGCCCGGCCGGCGCCUGCCGAUGACAACCCAAAUUUUUAUCCAGGUUGACCUCGGAUCAGGUAGG